UACGGAGGAUGCGAGCGUUAUCCGGAUUUAUUGGGUUUAAAGGGUGCGUAGGCGGGCUGUUAAGUCAGCGGUCAAAUGUCGGGGCUCAACCCCGGCCUGCCGUUGAAACUGGCGGUCUUGAGUGAGCGAGAAGUAUGCGGAAUGCGUGGUGUAGCGGUGAAAUGCAUAGAUAUCACGCAGAACUCCGAUUGCGAAGGCAGCAUACCGGCGCUCAACUGACGCUGAGGCACGAAAGCGUGGGGAUC
This 245-nucleotide ribosomal RNA is filed under the name uncultured Porphyromonadaceae bacterium. Its description in RNAcentral is "partial 16S ribosomal RNA". It matches the Rfam family "Bacterial small subunit ribosomal RNA", at positions 524 to 769 of the family's 1533-position model. Lineage: Bacteria; Pseudomonadati; Bacteroidota; Bacteroidia; Bacteroidales; Porphyromonadaceae. The record is from RNAcentral.